UGUUAAAGGAACUAUGACAAACUAAAUGGUC
RNAcentral lists this non-coding RNA (31 nucleotides) under Mus musculus (house mouse). Lineage: Eukaryota; Metazoa; Chordata; Mammalia; Rodentia; Muridae. The record is from RNAcentral.